UCUUCUUUCCUUUUCUUCUUCUAGCGAACCCGAGAGAUGAAAUUGAGAUUUGAUUUCGGGAUAAUCAAUUGAUUAAACUUUGUAGAUAAAGAAGGAGUUGGUGUUUUUGUGUUUAUGAAGAAGAAGAUUGUGAUGCUGUUAAAUUGAAGAUAGGGUUCUGAAGUUGAGGUUUCUGUAAAUGAAUUCAAGAAUUCGAUUGAGGAUAAAGAAGAAGAAGUUAGAAGACGGGUCUGUUCUUAAAUUGAUGUUUGAUUGAAGCUGCAGGGUUAUUUGAGGAUUAUUUAGGGUUUCUGAGAAUAGUGAAAGUGAUGGGAAUUAUGGUUUCUAUGAGAUUCGAUGAAGGCGAGGAUGGUUGCGAGUCUGAGAUCGAGAGAAGAAGAGCAGGGUUAGUUUUAGUUUAUGGUGGUGUUGAUUUCAGGUGACUGAUGCAGAACCUACAGAAAAGGUAAUUUGAGAAAUUAAAAUUAGGAUUCUUUAUUUUGGAUCUGUUAUACAUAAAUUGGAUAAGAGCCAAUGAAUCUAGUAGGUUUGGUUAGAUUUAUGUUGAAGUUAGUUAUAUGGGUUUUAAUUGUUAAUUUAGAAAUUUAGAAACUAUAGAUGAAUAUAAGAUUGUUCUUGGGGAUUUUGAGUAUAUAAAGAUAUAAAAGAUGAUUCUGGUGUUAUAGGUAGAGAUGAAGAUAUGGGUUGUAGUUUGAAGAUUGAAGUGAGAGUUGAUUGAGACAGGGUGAUGUUUACUGUCAAAGCAAGAAGGAGGAGGAAAUGUUGAAGUUGCAGUGGUGCUGUAAAAGUAGAGAAUUGGCCCGGAAUGUGUUUGUAUGAAAUUACAGAAUUGGAGUUGGAGGUGUAUGAGCUGUAUAGGUUAGUUCUGGCAGUGAGGUUUGAUGGAAGUGAUAGUGUUGAACUGAGUUCAGUUGAAGUAGUCUUUAGUUUGGCCGCAACUGAUGGAUAUUAUAAGUAGCAGAGGUAAUUGUUCUUCUUAGUUCAGUUGGUAAUACUUGUAUGUUUUUAAAUUUGAGUUCAUGGAUUAUGAGAUGUUGAGUUACAGAGAUUUUGCAUAGAAUUAUAGUGAACUGAACAAGAAGUUGGUGUUAGUGAAAUGAUAUGUUGGAUGCUUCUGUGAUAAACAAGGUGGCUGAGUUAUAAUAAUGAUUAUGGUUAUUUGUGUCUGAAAUUUGGUGGAAAUGGAAUUGAGUAUCUGGUGGUGCUGUAAUGAGUUUAAGUUAAAGCUAAUUGAACUGAAUUGAUGAGUAUAGAUGUUUGUUAGGACAAAUUGUUAUUGCAGAGAAGAAUUGAGUUAAUGGUAGUGGUUGAGUUGCAAGUAGUGGGGGUGCUGACUUUAGUGGUUUGGUGUUAAAUAUUAUAGUGUUGUGUUGCAGAAUUUCAGGCGAAAGAGUAGUGGUAGUGAUAACUAGGAAUAAGAUGUUGUCGAUAUGAUGUUGGUGGUGGUGGUCUGGCAAGGUACUGAGUUAGAGAUGGUGAUGUUGUCUAUAAAGAUAGAAUGAAAGGGUGUGUGGCUUUGGUGGUAGAGAUGAAUGUGCAGGCAAUGUAUGAGAUCAUGUUGGGAGUGCUUGGGUUGAGGAUUAAUGAAUGCAGAUGGUGUUAGUGGUUGAAUGCAUUUGUUGGGAGAUUAUAUGAAUGUUGAAUUGAGAUUGUAGAAAGAGUGUUACAGCUACUACAAAUGAGUUAGUCUAUAUUAACAACGAUCGAUUCAAAGGAUGAACCAGUGGAUCGUGGAUCUCGAAGUAGGCGUGCCUUGUCAUCAAAAGAGUUUUCAGAGACAGAUCAGAGUUGCUCAGCGAAAGCCUCAAGUGUUGACUUCGUUAAUUAGUUAACUUCUGCUAUAUUUUAUUAUGUUGUUUAUUGAAUCUGUAAACCAAUUGACUAUUAUAUAUGUAUCAUUUGAGAGAAAUUCAUGUAUAUAUGUUCUGAGCGGGGUUAGU
Molecule: long non-coding RNA, 1940 nt
Organism: Papaver somniferum (opium poppy)
Lineage: Eukaryota; Viridiplantae; Streptophyta; Magnoliopsida; Ranunculales; Papaveraceae
Exons: 3
Source: RefSeq, a predicted model, not a curated record